CCCGCAGUAGCUCAACGGCAGAGCGCUCGCCUGUAGAGCGAGAUGUUGCUGGUUCAAAUCCGGCCUGCGGGA
Molecule: transfer RNA, 72 nt
Filed under: Microcaldota archaeon
Lineage: Archaea; Nanobdellati; Microcaldota
Also listed under: 1 other name
Description: tRNA-Tyr
Rfam family: tRNA
About the family: Transfer RNA (tRNA) molecules are approximately 80 nucleotides in length. Their secondary structure includes four short double-helical elements and three loops (D, anti-codon, and T loops).
Source: RNAcentral